CAGCAAAGCAGAGUUGGAGACCCUUCACUUUCUGGAGGACCCCAGAAAGGACUUUUCCUCACAGGAUUCAUAUCCACUGAUCAAGCUACUCUUUGUGAGAUUCAACAUCACUUUCCCAUCAUCGGCACCACUCCAUCCAAACAAAGGGCAAAGAUCCAUUCCAGAGGGUGUCCCACCGUCCAAAAUCAACCCAAGCAGAACCUGUGCCGUGCAAGGCGACGGGAGGACCAGCUUCCUUCACCCUUUAUUCUCCAAAUACUACAACUUGGAAGUUGGCAGGAGCGGCUCACAGCUCAGAAAACACUGCUUCCUCUUUCUUUCCUGUGUAAUGGCAACUGAUGUGAAUUUGGGCCGACCACAGAAACACUGUUAUGGUUAAAUCACAGGCCUGGGGAGACCAGGUGCUUCCCCAACACCCUUGGGAAUCACAUUCGCCCCUGAGUGUUGGUCUAGGUUCAGCUGUCUCUACCUCUGACCUCAUCCACUAUAAGCUUAUAGGCAAAACCUUCCCUGGACCAGUGCUAUGAGGUGAAACCCACCCCCACGCCUUCAUGCAGCAGCAGCAGCAGGACGAGGAAGCAUGUGGAGGGAACGGAGGCAUGGGGGUUACUGAGAAUGAGAAGUUUUGAGAGCAGGCGAGGGACUACUCAUGGCUAAAACAAGGCUAUAAACAGGAUAAUUUAUUUCUCAAUCAUACUUUUGAGACAGAUAGAGCACUUUCAUUGGGCCAAUUUUGUAAAGUGAAACUACACUGUAUCAUAUGCUGUCCCUGUUGACCUUUGUGCUGACAUGUAUGCUUCUAAUUUUCUCAGUAAGAGAAAGAAUGGAGAAUACAUCCAUCCACAUCAAAGUCAAGCCUGAGAAUAAAAUGGUAUUGCCAGAAAA
This is a long non-coding RNA of Siniperca chuatsi (mandarin fish), 885 nucleotides long. RefSeq lists it as uncharacterized. The transcript is spliced from 2 exons. The record is from RefSeq and is a predicted model, not a curated record. Lineage: Eukaryota; Metazoa; Chordata; Actinopteri; Centrarchiformes; Sinipercidae.